UACGAAGGGGGCGAGCGUUGUUCGGAUUUACUGGGCGUAAAGGGCGCGCAGGCGGCAGAUCAAGUCAGAUGUGAAAGCCCCGGGCUUAACCUGGGAACUGCAUUUGGGACUGGUUUGCUAGAGAUCGGGAGAGGAGAGUGGAAUUCCCGGUGUAGCGGUGAAAUGCGCAGAUAUCGGGAAGAACACCCGUGGCGAAGGCGGCUCUCUGGGACGGUACUGACGCUGAGACGCGAAAGCGUGGGGAGCGAACAGG
RNAcentral lists this ribosomal RNA (253 nucleotides) under uncultured bacterium. RNAcentral's name for it is "partial 16S ribosomal RNA". It matches the Rfam family "Bacterial small subunit ribosomal RNA", at positions 524 to 776 of the family's 1533-position model. The record is from RNAcentral.